CAAUAGCGUAUAUUAAAGUUGUUGCAGUUAAAAAGCUCGUAGUUGGAUUUCUGGUGGGAGCGAUCGGUCUGGCGCUUAGCGCGAGUACUUGCAUCGUCUCCGGCCAUCCUUGGGGAGAGUCUGUCUGGCAUUAGGUUGUCGGGCAGAGGAUCCUCAUCGUUUACUGUGAAAAAAUUAGAGUGUUCAAAGCAGGCUUAUGCCGUUGAAUAUAUUAGCAUGGAAUAAUAAGAUAGGACUUUGGUACUAUUUUGUUGGUUUGCGCACCAAAGUAAUGAUUAAUAGGGACAGUUGGGGGUAUUCGUAUUCCGUUAUCAGAGGUGAAAUUCUUGGAUUUACGGAAGACGAACUACUGCGAAAGCAUUUACCAAGGAUGUUUUCAUUAA
Molecule: ribosomal RNA, 383 nt
Filed under: uncultured eukaryote
Lineage: Eukaryota
Description: partial 18S ribosomal RNA
Rfam family: Eukaryotic small subunit ribosomal RNA
Source: RNAcentral